GAGAGGAUUCGGAGAACCGAGGGAGACUUGGAGGGGAUGGACGAGGCGGGCUCUUCGUCUCUCCACAUACGCAGAGUCUGCUCCAGAAACAACAGUGUCUUUAUUGGAGCCUUUCUCGAAGGCACUAGAACAGACAGAUCCCUCUCCCGGGAGAUAGGAAACAAGAGGCUGGCGUGGUCUUCCAGCCCGGGGGGCUGGGUCUCC
Molecule: long non-coding RNA, 204 nt
Organism: Lutra lutra (Eurasian river otter)
Lineage: Eukaryota; Metazoa; Chordata; Mammalia; Carnivora; Mustelidae
Exons: 3
Source: RefSeq, a predicted model, not a curated record